AGCGAACGCUGGCGGCAGGCUUAACACAUGCAAGUCGAGCGGGCAUCUUCGGAUGUCAGCGGCAGACGGGUGAGUAACACGUGGUAACGUACCCUUCGGUUCGGAACAACUCUGGGAAACUGGAGCUAAUACCGGAUACGCCCUUAUGGGGAAAGGUUUACUGCCGAAGGAUCGGCCCGCGUCUGAUUAGCUAGUUGGUGGGGUAACGGCCUACCAAGGCGACGAUCAGUAGCUGGUCUGAGAGGAUGAUCAGCCACACUGGGACUGAGACACGGCCCAGACUCCUACGGGAGGAAGCAGUGGGGAAUAUUGGACAAUGGGCGCAAGCCUGAUCCAGCCAUGCCGCGUGAGUGAUGAAGGCCUUAGGGUUGUAAAGCUCUUUUGUCCGGGACGAUAAUGACGGUACCGGAAGAAUAAGCCCCGGCUAACUUCGUG
RNAcentral lists this ribosomal RNA (435 nucleotides) under uncultured bacterium. Its description in RNAcentral is "partial 16S ribosomal RNA". It matches the Rfam family "Bacterial small subunit ribosomal RNA", at positions 29 to 507 of the family's 1533-position model. The record is from RNAcentral.